This is an RNA transcript of Mytilus californianus (California mussel), 6882 nucleotides long. It is a transcript of the gene named E3 ubiquitin-protein ligase HACE1-like, with no coding region annotated. The record is from RefSeq and is a predicted model, not a curated record. The transcript is spliced from 22 exons. NCBI's taxonomy places the organism in Eukaryota, Metazoa, Mollusca, Bivalvia, Mytilida, Mytilidae.
UGGUUGGCAGUGAAUGGAAGGACAGAAUUGUUACACGAUUUGUUUAUGUACACACAAGAUGUGGAUGUUGAGGAUGCUCAAGGACAAACAGCUUUACAUGUUGCCUGUCAGAAUGGUCACAAAUCUACAGUUGUAUGUUUACUUGACCAUGGAGCAGAAAUCAACAGACCAAAUCAUUAUGGAUGGAUGCCUUUACAUUUUGCCUGCAGUCAUGGUCAGCAUGAUACAGCUACAAUAUUAUUACAAAGAGGAGCAGUAUUUCUACCAGAUAAAAAUAAUAAAACACCACUGGAUUUUUGUAUAGAGGGAGGAUACUGUGAAACCUGUGACAAUUUACUGACACAUUUUCCAAAAUUAUUUGAACAAUUGAUUCAGAUGGUCAGGAAAGAAGAUCUCAAAGAAUCUAUGUAUUUGAAGGUGCUGAAAUUUCUGUGCAAAAAGAAUAAUGAAAUGGCAGAUAGAAUAUUGGUAGCAUUAGCUGAAGAAUUAUCAAACAUAGGACAUAAUCUUCUGAGUUUAUCCAGUAAUGUUGAAGUCCAUGUUUCAGUACUGUUGACCUGUGUCAGAGUUCUAUGUAAACUUUACACAUCAGUAUAUCAGUCUAUGACAGCAUCCAUACAGUCAGCAGUAGUCAAUGGUGUCACUCCUGUCUCACCAAAAGCUAUAAGGAUAUUCAAGCCAGCAGAAAGUCUAUGGCAGCUCCUGGAAGACUGGCUUAAUUUGCUACAAGUAGAAUUUGAUCAGAAAAGUCCCAGACAAUCUAUGGCAAAUCUUGUUGAAAAUGAAAAUGGAUCUCAUUCAGUUGAAAAGCCAAAGACAAUGAAUACCACUAACUCUUCAAAUGCAUCUCCACAACAACAACAGGCAGCUAAUCAGUACUCAGAUGUUCACUGUAGUAAAGAUAAACUUCAAGUAUCAGAGGGAAUUUUAAAACAUAUGAGUUUAGAGGACCAGGAUGUCAUUGGUGCUACAUUACCAAGGAUCUGUGGUGUUGUUCAGGCAUUUUAUAUCACAUGUUCUUGUCAUACCCAAUUAGAGAUUACAUCUCCAAGAUUCAUAGAGUUUGUUUGUAAACAUAAUAAGGUGCUCAAAGCUUUAGUUCAGAGAAAUACCACUGUGAUAUUUGAUCAUUUCCAUUUCUUAUUGGAAUGUCCAGAAUUGAUGUCUCAGUUCAUACAUAUCAUUAAAUUGCAGCCUUUUAUUAAAAGAAGAGAAUGGUUUUACCAGAAUAUAUCUGAUGAUGAAAAUCAAAGUGAAGUGUUACAUAUCCCAGCUACUGACCAGGACAUUCUCAUUAUAAAUAGAGAAAGAAUAUUUGAUAGUAGCUGUGACAGGGUACUUAAAGAAAAUCCAGAUAAAUUGAAGAAAGGACUAGCAUUAAAGUUUGAUGGUGAAGAGGGCAUGGGACAGGGAGUAGUGAGAGAAUGGUUUGAUGUUUUAUCUAAAGAAAUCCUAAAUCCAGAUUAUGCCUUGUUUACCCAGUCAGCAGAUGGGAGUACAUUCCAGCCAAACAGUAACUCUGCCAUAAAUCCAGACCACCUUAACUACUUUAGAUUUGCAGGACAAAUCUUAGGACUUUGUCUUUAUCACAAGCAGUUAAUCAAUGUUUACUUUACCAGAUCAUUUUAUAAACAUAUCCUAGGUAUCCCAGUGAAUUAUACAGAUGUGGCAUCUAUUGAUCCUGACUACGCUAAAAAUCUGCAGUGGAUACUUGACCAUGACAUUGACAAUUUAGGAUUGGAUCUGACAUUUUCUGUUGAGACUGAUGUGUUUGGUGUGAUGCAGGAAGUAGAAUUAAAACCAGGAGGAAGUCAUAUAACAGUGACAGAAGAAAACAAGACAGAGUAUGCUCAGUUAGUAACAGAAUUAAGAAUGACAAGAGCCAUACAGCCACAGAUAAAUAGUUUUCUAUCUGGUUUCCAUCAAUACAUUCCACAAUCACUGAUACAAAUGUUUGAUGAGUAUGAAUUGGAGUUAAUGUUGUCUGGUAUUCCAGAGAUAGAUAUCAGUGACUGGGAGAAACAUACAGAAUACAAUGGCUAUGAUAGACAAUCUCCUGUUAUCCAGUGGUUUUGGGAAAUUGUUGAAGAUUUCAGUCAAGAGAACAGAGUUUUGCUGCUUCAGUUUACUACUGGCAGUUCCCGAGUACCGUUUGGAGGUUUUGCAAAGUUUGUUGGUGGAGGAGGUCCACAACACUUUACCAUAGCUAUAGUUCCUUAUAAAGAACAUACAUUACCUACAGCUAGUACUUGUAUCAACAUGCUGAAAAUACCAGAAUAUAAAUCAAAGACUGAGUUACAUAACAGACUGAUGGUAGCUUUACAGUGUGGUAACCAAGGUUAUGCUUUUGCAUGAACAGGAAGUGCAAAUAAUUUUGGGAUUGACAAUAAAGACCAGUUCUAGAUGGAAUUUGCUUGUGGAAGAAUAAGAAUAAAUAGUACAUACUGAUCAAAAAGCAAAUUUAGAGAGUUUAUAAAUGCUAUGAAAUAGCAUAUUUAGUAAACAAAUAGUAAUGGAAAGCUUUCACAAUAACCUUCCCAUAUAUGCCUUCUUCUCUACUGUAGAAUAUAUAUUAAAAGAGUAUAAGCCUUAUCUGAAAAAAAUGAUCUGCUGAUGUUCUAUAUAAAAUGUAUUGUUACUUUAUAUGUUUUAAAAAGGUGAUAAAAAAUCUCAGUUUAAAUGCAUUUCUGUUUUAAAGGCAUGAAUUCAAAAAUACAUAGAAUAUAAUUGAAAACUACUACAUUGUACAUGGGUUUGUAAAAACCAUUCUUUUUUUUUUCUGUAUGAUGUAAUUCUUCAAUCGGUAUUUUCAAAUUUUGGUAAAAGUCAAUUUACUUUUGAGUAAAUCAAGUGACCAUUUUAAAGAUUUUAGCCCCUUUUUAAUAUUAAAUUAUUCAAGAUAAGGCCUACUGUGAUAUAAAACAUAUUCAAUUGCAUUCAAAAGUGUCUGAUAUCCAACAAAAAAUCCAUUAGUACUAAAUAGUUUUUUAAGUAAAGUUGUCUCUUCGAAAAACUCUGGAUUAUGAACAUCUUGAACUGUUUGAAUAACUACUUAAAAUGUCCCUUUUAUUCAAAUAAUACUGAAAUGGCGUAGUCAUUUGAGUUAAGGAGGACUGUUUGAUAAAUCCUUUAACACAUUUUCUGUUAGUAAUGGAGAACCAAUUUUUUGUCAGAUCUAAGGAAAAUAUUUGAUCACAGAUUGAAUCUGACAUCAACUGAAUGCAAGAUGAAACAUCGAAAACUAAAACCUUGUACAACAUUCCAGGUUCUGAUACUUCAAUAGAAUGAAACGUAGUACACAUGUUCAUUAUAUUGUGAACUAUUAAAAUUAUGUGUCAUAUUAUGGUUUUGACCUCAAUUACACAGUUCACUGAACACAGAAAUGUGAUAGUGAGAAAUAAGUACAGUCUCAGGAUAAAUGUUUUGUAAAGGUAGUUUACCAAGAAUCUUUGGAAAUAUAAGCUUGAAACUUAGUCCACUUGUUAAUUGUGAGGUGAACUGUGAAUAUAUAUAUGACAAAUAACACUAACACUGAUUUCACAUAAUCAGAUAAUAGUGCAAGCAAGCAAGGCAGGGUGUCACAUGGAAACAUAGUCAUGUUACUAAAUAUUUCAUCUAUUGAUAAUAAUUGAUACAUUUUACAACUCCUAUAGAAUAGUAUAGAAUAGGAACAUGCUGAAUAUUGGUAACAAACUAGUUCUUAAAAGAGAAUGAUUUUUUUUAGUAUUCAUAAGAAUAACAGCUAACUAAAGACAUGUAUAUAUGUAUUUACCAAAAAGGAUAUCAGAUAUUAUGUAAAUAUAAGUGAACCAUUUGUUAAAGUACUAAUAUUGUAUUGUUUUGUUCUAAGUUCUGUUUUACUUGAAUUAAUAGUUGUUUAUAUUGUUCAUUUUUUUUUAUUUAUUUGAUUUCCUAUUUUAAUAGAUGUUUCAUCCAAUAACUUGCUGUGAUACUUUUGUAAGCAUCAUAUUAUGACUAACAUUUUGAUAAUGUCUAAAGAUUUGACCAAAGUUGUUUGAAUGACUAGUCAAAAUUUAAUAUUUAGGUCUCUUUUAUUUUCUUUUUUGAAUAUUGUACAAAGUGAUUAUUUUUUGCUCACCUGGCUCUAUAGUGAGCUACUGCGAUCACUUGGACUCUGUAGUCUUUUAACUUAAAAAAAAAAAAAAAUCGUUUCCUCUGUAACAUGUUGUCAGACCAAUUUCACCAGACUUGGGUUAUAUGAUCUUUAAGGAAUCUAGUACGAUGUAUGUGUUUUUUAUGCCUCAUUUAUGGUCAUUAUGUUUUUUGGUCUGUACAUCAGUUCGUUCUGUCGUCUGUCCCGCUUCAGGUUAAAGUUUUUGGUCAAGGUAGCUUUUGAUGAAGUUGAAGUCCAAUCAAUUUGAAACUUAGUACACAUGUUCCCUAUGAUAUUAUCUUUCUAAUUUUAGUGCCAAUUUAGAGUUUUGACCCCAAUUUCACGGUCCACUGAAUGUAGAAAAUGAUUGUGGGAGUGGGGCAUCUGUGUACUGUGGACACAUUAUUGUUUAUUCUUGUCCUUCAAUCAACAUGUUAAAAAAUAAAACAAGGGUGAAUGCAUGAAUUGUCUUGUAUCUUGAUAACCAUUUUAGAUCGAGAAAAUGAGAGCGACUGAAAUGUUCAGAAUGUGAAAAUAGUCUUACUUUCUAAAUUCACCAAAACUAUCAGAUGACUUAUCUUAGAAAUUAUUGUCCUUAAUUGAUGAUUGUUGACUACUUUUUUUCCUUUUGUAUAACAAAUUGUCAUACCUAGGAAAAAAUUGUAAAGUUAAAAAGUGAUUAGCAAUAUAGAAUCUAAACAAUUCUUUAGACCAAAACCAUUGAAUGACUUCUUGUAGUAGUUAUUGCCUUUAAAUGAUGAUUUUUGUCGAGCCUGCGACUUUUGUCGCAGAAAGCUCGACAUAGGGAUAGUGAUCCGGCGGCGGCGGCGGCGGCGGCGGCGGCGUUAGCUAACUUCUUAAAAGCUUUAUAUUUUAGAAGGUGGAAGGUCUGGAUGCUUCAUACUUUGUAUAUGGAUGCCUCAUGUUACGAAGUUUCCUUCAGUCACAUGUCCAAUGUCCUUGACCUCAUUUUCAUGGUUCAGUGACUACUUGAAAAAAAAGUUAAGAUUUUUUGUAAUGUUAGAUUCUCUCUUAUUAUAAGUAAUAGGAUAACUAUAUUUGGUAUGUGCGUACCUUGCAAGGUCCUCAUGCCCGUCAGACAGUUUUCACUUGACCUCGACCUCAUUUCAUGGAUCAGUGAACAAGGUUAAGUUUUGGUGGUCAAGUCCAUAUCUCAGAUACUAUAAGCAAUAGGUCUAGUAUAUUCGGUGUAUGGAAGGACUGUAAGGUGUACAUGUCCAACUGGCAGGUGUCAUCUGACCUUGACCUCAUUUUCAUGGUUCAGUGGUUAUAGUUAAGUUUUUGUGUUUUGGUCUGUUUUUCUUAUACUGUAUGCCAUAGGUCUACUAUAUUUGGUGUAUGGAAUGAUUGUAAGGUGUACAUGUCUAGCGGGCAGGUGUCAUUUGACCUUGACCUCAUUUUCAUGGUUCAGUGGUCAAAGUUAAGUUUUUGAGUUUUGGUCUUUUUUUCUAAUACUAUGUGCAAUAGUUCAACUUUAUUUGGUAUGUGCGUACCUUGCAAGGUCCUCAUGCCCGUCAGACAGUUUUCACUUGACCUCGACCUCAUUUCAUGGAUCAAUGAACAAGGUUAAGUUUUGGUGGUCAAGUCCAUAUCUCAGAUACUAUAAGCAAUAGGUCUAGUAUAUUCGGUGUAUGGAAGGACUGUAAGGUGUACAUGUCCAACUGGCAGGUGUCAUCUGACCUUGACCUCAUUUUCAUGGUUCAGUGGUUAUAGUUAAGUUUUUGUGUUUUGGUCUGUUUUUCUUAUACUGUAUGCAAUAGUUCAACUAUAUUUGGUGUAUGGAAAUAUUUUAUGAUCUAUUUGGCAGUCACGCAGGUUUUAUUUGACCUUGACCUCAUUUUCAAGGUUCAUUGCUCAGUGUUAAGUUUUUGUGUUUUGGUCUGUUUUUCUUAAACUAUAAGCAAUAGGUCAACUCUAUUUGUUGUAUGGAAGAAUUGUUAGCUGUACAUGCCUGCCUAGCAUGGGUCAUCUGACCUUGACCUCAUUUUCAUGGUUCAUUGGUCAAUGUUUAGUUUACUUGGUUAAUGUUAAGUUUAUGUGACUGUUGUAAUAAAGCUUUAUAUUUAGGACUAUCAACAUAAUAUCAAUGAUUAGUAAAGAAGGCGAGACAUUUCAGCGUGUGCACUCUUGUUUACCAAUUUGCUUGUUACUGAUUAUUUUGUCAAACAACUGUAAUAGAUAGCUUUGAAACUAAAAAACUGGAAAAAAUUAUCAGCAAUAUUAGUUCUAAAGUAGUGCUAAUAUGACCAAAAUCAUUUGAUGAAUACUUACAGGAGUUAUUACAUUUAAAUGAUAAGACUGUCCGUCCACCAUUAAGUUGUUGUGUGGAACUUUAACCACGCCAACUAACUGAUUAAAUGACAAUGUUUGGGUGUUUUGUCGAUUAUUUUGAAACUAUUAUAGAUUAAUAAAAAGUCCAUUAGAAAUGCUAUUUUUGGAUAGGAAAAAUAUAAUGUAUAGAUAUAAUGGAUGUAACUAAGAAUUGAAUUUAGUUAACAAUGUAAUGUAUAAUUUGUUAUUGUUGUUUGUUCUUUAUUUGUUCUUAUUUUAGGACAUGUUGUUGUCUUUUUUUAUUGUUUUUUUUCAAAUGCCUCUUUGGUAUCUUCUCUCUCUCUUUUCUAAAAGAACUAAAAUAACAAAGAUCUAUGUUGCCUACCUUUCCAGACGUAAUUGUAGAAGGUUAAAUCUUUGAUUUGUGAUUAACCUGUCGUUUUGAAUGCAAUUAAAAUUUGAUUAUAUGCCAUUAA